AUGUAAUUGGAAGUGGGCACGACUCCUGGAAAGUAGCCCUCCGCAAUAAGUAUAAAAACCUAAGAAGGAAGCUGGAUGAUCAUGAAGAUGUGUUAGCAAGUCGCCAGAAAUUCGGUGCCCAAAAGAAAACAGGAGGCACCACUGAGCUUCAAAGGAAAAAAGCUGGGAAAAUGAGUGUGAGCAUCACAGAUCUAACAGCAGAAGAUGAUGACAGUAUUGCCAAACAUGAAGAUCGACUUGUUUUGGAAACCAAAAAACUAUUGCCGGAUGAGCAACUCGUGGAAAAGUUAAUGGCCUUGACAGCUGGGAAGAGGCUUCCUGACGUUGCGACGAAAACCGUUCAUGAUGUGAAAAAGAACUACCCCUAUAUGAUGG
Rhipicephalus microplus (southern cattle tick) is the source of this 375-nucleotide long non-coding RNA. The record is from RefSeq and is a predicted model, not a curated record. Lineage: Eukaryota; Metazoa; Arthropoda; Arachnida; Ixodida; Ixodidae.